UGAGGAAUAUUGCACGAUGGGCGCAAGCCUGAUGCAGCGACGCCGCGUGUGGGAUGAAGGGGCUACGCCUCGUAAACCACUGUAGCCCGGGACGAAAAACGCCUUAGAGGCGUUAGACGGUACCGGGAAAGUAAGGGUCGGCUAACUACGUGCCAGCAGCCGCGGUAAUACGUAGGACCCAAGCGUUGUCCGGAUUUACUGGGUGUAAAGGGUGCGCAGGCGGAUGGGUAAGUCAUGGGUGAAAGUCUGCAGCUUAACUGUAGAAUUGCCUUUGAUACUGCUCAUCUUGAGUGUGGGAGAGGUGGAUGGAAUUCCUGGUGUAGCAGUGAAAUGCGUAGACAUCUGGAAGAACACCAGUGGCGAAGGCGGUCAACUGGCCCAUAACUGACGCUCAUGCACGAAAGCGUGGGGAGCAAACA
This 419-nucleotide ribosomal RNA is filed under the name uncultured bacterium. Its description in RNAcentral is "bacterial SSU rRNA". It matches the Rfam family "Bacterial small subunit ribosomal RNA", at positions 355 to 774 of the family's 1533-position model. The record is from RNAcentral.